Molecule: long non-coding RNA, 2685 nt
Organism: Papaver somniferum (opium poppy)
Lineage: Eukaryota; Viridiplantae; Streptophyta; Magnoliopsida; Ranunculales; Papaveraceae
Exons: 3
Source: RefSeq, a predicted model, not a curated record
AUUCUGAAUCUCGAUUCGACACCUCCUUCAACCUUCCACACCACCACUACCAACAUUCGACACCACCCACCACCACAGAAACCAACAGGUCAAUUAACACUAUCUUCACUUCACUUUCUAUCUUCACCAUCACUACCAAUUUCUUCUUCUUCCUUCUACCCCGGUUCUCCAUCGAUUGAACCACUACCAUCGCCACUACUACCAACUUCAAAAUCACUCUUGAUCCUCAUCAAUUUCUCAGUGUAAACUUCGAAUAAUUUUUACUUAGUUUAGAUUUUACGGUUCAGAGUUUUGAUUUGAUUGACUCACUUCAGAAACUGUAACCCUAAAUUGGAAAUUGUGUGAAAAGAUUAAAUCACUUCAGAAUUGGGUGAAGUAUCCUCAACAAAUACUUCCAGAUUGGUUUGGUUAUUACUCUCAUCUUCUUCACUUCCGGUAACGUUUGUCAACAUUAGGAUUAUAUGGUCGGAUUGACUUAUAUUGUGAAUAGAUUUAGCGAGUUCUCAUCCAUCUCCAAGUUCGAGGCUUAUUGAUGUAUCUCAAGUUCUAGAGUUUAAUUAAUCCAUGUUUUAACUUGCUCAUGAUAAAGAUGAAAAUUUGAAUUUGUGUUUUUAUAAUGUUUGAAAUGAAUAUCUGCCAAGCCCAUAAUAACUGAAUAUCUUCUGUAUCCAAUAUCUAACUGAAACGCAUCUACUAGCAAUGUUUUUGAGUAUCCAAGUUUCUGAAUUAUGUUUCUCGACUAUGAGCAUUAAUGUUGUAUUUCUAUAAUAUAAUUUACUUUCAGGGACUGAUCUGUAGAUUAAUCGUUCCAGAAUCUAGAAUUAAUUAGAUGUAUAACUUUGGCGGUACAUCUCUUAAUUGUAGUAUGGAUUUAUGUAAUUAGGGAUUAACUAUAUAUGGAAGUGUUGGAAUGUUAAAGAUGUAGACAAGUACAAGAGUUCCAUCAUCUCUUAGCACAAUAAUAAUAGUUCAUGUAAAGUUGAAAGGGUUUUGCUUUUGUGCUGAAGCUGAAAUGAGCUGUUUUCUACAUCACAGAAGAAUUCUGCUGUAUUCUUUAAUGUAUUUGGUGUUGCGACGUCUCUAUAUAUAAGUAGGUUAUUCAUAUCUCAACUGUAACAUGACACGAUAUUUCGACACUUUUAUAUGUUUUUUUAGUUUUAUAUUUUACUUCUUAUCCUAUGAAUUUAGUUAAAUUUGUCAGUUUAACUUUGUGAACUUUACCCGUUGGUUUUGGUGAUCUUAAUUGUAAUAAUUAGAUGAUAUAUUGGGUGCACUUGGGAGGUGGGGAUUUAAGGAAACCUUCCUGAUGGUGCUCAGGUUAUAUUUGAAACUCUUUUAGUUUUGUACUUGAAUUUUUUGUAGUUGGCUUGAUUUGAAUAUCAUGGACUGAAGAAUAUUUAUCCAUUCAAUUUGUCGGUGUUGCAGUUUAAGUUAAUGUUCUCAUGUUGUAAGGAACAUAAUGAGAAAGAAGUAUGCUACAUGAACAGUUGUUUGUGGAAAUACCCAGGGUCGGGAAUAAAAUCAUUUUUCAAAAUCAGUAAACAACUCAAUUUUUUGGAAUCUAUUUGGAAAUACCCAAAAUCAAAAUAAAUACCGAAUAGUUAAAUUUCAGUUGGGUAUGCAUUGAAUUUCAUUCUUAGUUGUAACAUAGAAAGAUUAAGUUUGUGAUCAUUACAUGUUUGUGUAAAUGCCACAGAGGUUGGAGUAUCAACGCAGUGUCUAUUCAAGGCUCAUUUGGAUGUCAAUUGAUGUUCAGUCUGUUCCACAGGCAGAUGCCAUGAAAGGUUGUUAUUCGACAGAAACUGCCAAAAGCUCAUGUUCUACGUCUAGAUUCACAUGAUAAUGAACAGGACAACGAAGCAAGUAGACAAGUUUCAGUAUCAGCUGGGGAGCAUAACGCAGAACCAAGUUUCAUUCUUCGGCGAAGUUCGGGAAUUCAGCUGCUACAGAGAGCACUUUAGUUAGACAAACGCCGUAUUGCAAUGAAAGAAAGACGAAGCGUAAUGAGUGAAAGUGACAAACAGCGGAUCCUUGAACAACGGCGUAGAGCUUAAAUGCGAAGAACAAUAAAGGGUGAUGCAACUAAUAAUGAGCACAGAGAGGGACCAAGUAGUGAUUUUUCUUUUGCUUCUUUCAGCCGGCAUCCUGUAGUUUCCUUUGAUAGAUGAAGUGCAGGAGCUUAAGUCAAAGGUCAGUUCUUUUUAUAUAGCAAAUUGUGAUUUUCGUUGAUAGAAUCCUUGACUUCCAUGCAUUUUCUGCACCUAGCAAGUAUAUUCUUCAAAAGAAGAGAAAUUUUAUCGUAUGGAUACUUCUUUAUAGUGUUUUAUCAGUGCCCUUAUAUCACUGCUGACUAAAAUUUGCUUUAAUGAGACCUUGGGUACUGAGGCUGAAGUACGAGUGGGUACACGAACAACUUCUGAGCUGAAAUGUUGGCAGCUGACAGCUGAGACAGUCUUUAACGCUGAAGUUCAAGUUCAAUUGCCGUCACCACUCAAUUUCUAUUAACCUGUCGUGCGAAAUUGUUGGACUUGGUUACCUGAGUGAGUAUUUUUUCUUCUAGACCCUUCCAUGUGCAAAAGUCCUUUUCAAUUUUCAAGCCUGAUUAUGGCUACUAUACUAAAUGUUGGAAAACAAAACUAAUGUAAUAUAAAUUAAUAAAAUACAUCAUUUACCAGUUUACAUCAA